This 4812-nucleotide long non-coding RNA is filed under the name Triticum aestivum (bread wheat). RNAcentral's name for it is "long non-coding RNA (TAES_LNC027174)". Lineage: Eukaryota; Viridiplantae; Streptophyta; Magnoliopsida; Poales; Poaceae. The record is from RNAcentral.
UCCUCUAGGCCACGGCUUAGGGGGAGAGAGUUGGCCGCUGUAAGCCGCGGUGUGUGCGGGCGCGUGCUGGCCGCGUCGGGUGCGUCAUUCCCGUAGCUAGCAUGUGCAUGUGUUGGUCGUGGCCGUGGUGAGUGGAGUCUCCGAGCCGGCCGAGUCUCUGUGCGGCAGUUCCUGCAUGUGUGGUGCGUGGGAGCUGCGUCUCCGCAGCCUACAAAGCCGGCCAUUUCCAGGUUGUUAGCAGCGUGCAUGUAGCUAGGUAGUUAGUGCAUGGGUUAGUGGCCGAUCUGGCGUGCAUGCCUCUAGGUAUUAAAGUGGCCACGGUGCUGGUGUGUAGGUGUGCCAGAGAAGAGAGAUGUAGCCUCUCAGUGUAUGUGUGCUCGCCGUGAGGGUGUGUGUGUUGAGUUCGAGCUCAAGGAAAGCGUUCGUGCGCUGGCAAACCCUCCCCGUGUCCUUCCUCGUCCUGUUGUCUUCGUCCUCCUCGUGUCGUUUGAGCGCAGCAGCGAGGGAGAGCGUGUGUGGGCUAGCGAGGGAGAAGGCCACGGUAACAACAAUUGGUAUCGGAGCAUCGGGUUCGGAGGAGCUCGCCGGCGAUGGCGCUCGUCCCGUGCGGCGGCGGAGCACGGUGACGCCGUGCGUAGGGGGAGCGCGGCAGCCGCGGCGGACCUGCGCGGUGGCGCAGAGGCUACGGUGGCGCGGUGCGGCUCGGCGGAGGGAAAGCCAAGCUCCGGGACACGCCGGAUCGGGCGCGUUGGUCGCGUCGGAGCGCGAUCAUGGCGCGGGCUGGUGGCGUGCGGAGCGUGGCAAAACAAGCCGCGGCGACGGGCUCACCGCAUCGGGCGCGUGUAUGGGCGCGUGCCAGACGUAGCGGGCAGAUCGGGACCGCGGGUGCGGACCACGUCGGGGCGCUGGACCUGGUGCGCAUAUCGCGUACGUGCGCGGCGGGAACGCGAGGACGUGGGGUGUGCGCGGCGAAGGGCACGGCGGCACGGUAGCAGGCGUGGCAGCGACGUCGGGGCGGUGGCGGCUACAACGACGUCGACCGCGCGGCGGAGCGCGCGCUGCGGGCGGACGGCAGGGUCGAGGACGUCGGUCUCCAAUAGGCCACGGCUUAGGGGGAGAGUGUUGGCCGCUGUAAGCCGCGGCGUGUGCGGGCGCGCGCUGCCGCGUCGGGUGCGUCAUUCCCGUAGCUAACAUGUGCAUGUGUUGGUCGUGGCCGUAGUGAGUGGAUUCUCCGAGCCGGCCGAGUCUCUGUGCGGCAGUUCCUGCAUGUGUGUUGCGUGGGAGCUGUGUCUCCGCAGGCUACAAAGCCAGCCAUUUCCAGGUUGUUAGCAGCGUGCAUGUAGCUAGGUAGUUAGUGCAUGAGUUAGUGGCCGAUCUGGCGUACGUGCCUCUGGGUAUUAAAGUGGCCACAGUGCUGGUGUGUAGGUGCGCCAGAGAAGAGAGAUGUAGCCUCUCAGUGUAUGUGUGCUCGCCGUGAGGGUGUGUGUGUUGAGUUCGAGCUCAAGGAAAGCGUUCGUGCGCUGGCAAACCCACCCCGUGUCCUUCCUCUUCCUGUUGUCUUCGUCCUCCUCGUGUCGUUCGAACGCAGCAGCGAGGGAGAGCGUGUGUGGGCUAGCGAGGGAGAAGGCCACGGUAACAACAAUUGGUAUCGGAGCAUCGGGUUCGGAGGAGCUCGCCGGCGAUGGCGCUCGUCCCGUGCGGCGGCGGAGCACGGUGACCCCGUGCGUAGGGGGAGCGCGGCGGCCGCGGCGGACCUGCGCGGUGGCGCAGAGGCUGCGGUGGCGCGGCGCGGCUCGGCAGUGGGAAGGCCAAGCUCCGGGACACGCCGGAUCGGCCGCGUUGGUCGCGUCGGAGCGCGAUCAUGGCGCGGGCUGGUGGCGUGCGGAGCGUGGCAGAACAAGCCGCGGCGACGGGCUCACCGCGCCGGGCGCGUGUAUGGGCGCGUGCCAGACGUAGCGGGCACAUCGGGACCACGGGUGCGGACCACGUCGGGGUGCUGGACCUAGUGCGCAUAUCGCGUACGUGCGCGGCGGGAGCGCGGGCCGGGAGUGCGAGGACGUGGGGUGUGCGCGGCGAAGGGCACGGCGGCACGGUGGCAGGCGUGGCAGCGACGUCGGGGCGGUGGCGGCUACAACGACGUCGACGGCGCGGUGGAGCACGCGCUGCGGGCGGACGGCAACGUCGAGGACGUCGGUCUCCUCUAGGCCACGGCUUAGGGGGAGAGUGUUGGCCGCUGUAAGCCGCGGCGUGUGCGGGCGCGCGCUGGCCGCGUCGGGUGCGUCAUUCCCGUAGCUAGCAUGUGCAUGUGUUGGUCGUGGCCGUGGUGAGUGGAGUCUCCGAGCCGGCCGAGUCUCUGUGCGGUAGUUCCUGCAUAUGUGGUGCGUGGGAGCUGCGUCUCCGCAGGCUACAAAGCCGGCCAUUUCCAGGUUGUUAGCAGCGUGCAUGUAGCUAGGUAGUUAGUGCAUGGGUUAGUGGCCGAUCUGGCGUGCGUGCCUCUGGGUAUUAAAGUGGCCACGAUGCUGGUGUGUAGGUGCGCCAGAGAAGAGAGAUGUAGCCUCUCAGUGUAUGUGUGCUCGCCGUGAGGGUGUGUGUGUUGAGUUCGAGCUCAAGGAAAGCGUUCAUGCGCUGGCAAACCCUCCCCGUGUCCUUCCUCUUCCUGUUGUCUUCGUCCUCCUCGUGUCGUUCGAGCGCAGCAGCGAGGGAGAGCGUGUGUGGGCUAGCGAGGGAGAAGGCCACGGUAACAACAAUUGGUAUCGGAGCAUCGGGUUCGGAGGAGCUCGCCGGCGAUGGCGCUCGUCCCGUGAGGCGGCGGAGCACGGUGACGCCGUGCGUAGGGGGAGCGUGGCGGCCUCGGCGGACCUGCGCGGUGGCGCAGAGGCUGCGGUGGCACGGCGCGGCUCGGCGGAGGGAAGGCCAAGCUCCGGGACACGCCGGAUCGGCUGCGUUGGUCGCGUCGGAGCGCGAUCAUGGCGCGGGCUGGUGGCGUGCGGAGCGUGGCAGAACAAGCCGCGGCGACGGGCUCACCGCGUCGGGCGCGUGUAUGGGCGCGCGCCAGACGUAGCGGGCACAUCGGGACCGCGGGUGCGGACCACGUCGGGGCGCUGGACCUGGUGCGCAUAUCGCGUACGUGCACGGCGGGAGCGCGUGCCGGGAGCGCGAGGACGUGGGGUAUGCGCGGCGUAGGGCACGGCGGCACGGUGGCAGGCGUGGCAGCGACGUCGGGGCGGUGUCGGCUACAACGACAUCGACGGCGCGGCGGAGCGCGCGCUGCGGGCGGACGGCAGCGUCGAGGACGUCGGUCUCCUCUAGGCCAUGGCUUAGGGGGAGAGUGUUGGGCGCUGUAAGCUACGGCGUGUGCGGGCGCGCGCUGGCCGCGUCGGGUGCGUCAUUCCCGUAGCUAGCAUGUGCAUGUGUUGGUCGUGGCCGUGGUGAGUGGAGUCUCCGAGCCGGCCGAGUCUCUGUGCGAUAGUUCCUGCAUGUGUGGUGCGUGGGAGCUGCGUCUCCGCAGGCUACAAAGCCGGCCAUUUCCAGGUUGUUAGCAGCGUGCAUGUAGCUAGGUAGUUAGUGCAUGGGUUAGUGGCCGAUCUGGCGUGCGUGCCUCUGGGUAUUAAAGUGCCCACGGUGCUGGUGUGUAGGUGCGCUAGAGAAGAGAGAUGUGGCCUCUCAGUGUAUGUGUGCUCGCCGUGAGGGUGUGUGUGUUGAGUUCGAGGUCAAGGAAAGCGUUCGUGCGUUGGCAAACCCUCCCCGUGUCCUUCCUCGUCCUGUUGUCUUCGUCCUCCUCGUGUCGUUCGAGCGCAGCAGCGAGGGAGAGCGUGUGUGGGCUAGCGAGGGAGAAGGCCACGGUAACAACAAUUGGUAUCGGAGCAUCGGGUUCGGAGGAGCUCGCCGGCGAUGGCGCUCGUCCCGUGCGGCGGUGGAGCACGGUGACGCCGUGCGUAGGGGGAGCGCGGCGGCCGCGGCGGACCUGCGCGGUGGCGGGGCGCGGCUCGGCGGAGGGAAGGCCAAGCUCUGGGACACGCCGGAUCGGGCGUGUUGGUCGCGUCGGAGCGCGAUCAUGGCGCGGGCUGGUGGCGUGCGGAGCGUGGCAGAACAAGCCGCGGCGACGGGCUCACAGCGUCGGGCGUGUGUAUGGGCGCGUGCCAGACAUAGCGGGCACAUCGGGACCGCGGGUGCGGACCACGUUGGGGCACUGGACCUGGUGCGCAUAUCGCGUACGUGCGCGGCGGGAACGCGGGCCGGGAGCGCGAGGACGUGGGGUGUGCGCGGCGAAGGGCACGGCGGCAGGCGUGGCAGCGACGUCGGGGCGGUGGCGGCUACAACGACGUCGACGGUGCGGCGGAGCGCGCGCUGCGGGCGGACGGCAGCGUCGAGGACUUCGGUCUCCUCUAGGCCACGGCUUAGGGGGAGAGUAUUGGACGCUGUAAGCCGCGGCGUGUGCGAGCGUGCGCUGGCCGCGCCGGGUGCGUCAUUCCCGUAGCUAGCAUGUGCAUGUGUUGGUCGUGGCCGUGGUGAGUGGAGUCUCCGAGCCGGCCGAGUCUCUGUGCGGCAGUUCCUGCAUGUGUGGUGCGUGGGAGCUGCGUCUCCGCAGGCUACAAAGCCGGCCAUUUCCAGGUUGUUAGCAGCGUGCAUGUAGCUAGGUAGUUAGUGCAUGGGUUAGUGGCCGAUCUGGCGUGCGUGCCUCUGGGUAUUAAAGUGGCCACGGUGCUGGUGUGUAGGUGCGCCAGAGAAGAGAGAUGUAGCCUCUCAGUGUAUGUGUGCUCACCGUGAGGGUGUGUGUGUUGAGUUUGAGCUCAAGGAAAGCGUUCGUGCGCU